GGAAAUUUGGUCGAAAGUUUAAGUUGAAUCGUUGGUUGAAACUUUGUUAACAUUUUAGCAUAAGAAUAGUCCAGUUCUUCAGCUUUCCUUACGCACUUCGGAAGAGUUGAUCGAUCCAUCGGCUUCCUUCCCUCGCUUGGGUGUUCGAGUUGUCAUUCGUGGCAGAAGCAGUUCGCACCUGCUCGUAUCGUCUCAAUUCGCUGCUCGUCGACAGGUAAUCCCCUACUUCGCAUAAACUUUCU
RNAcentral lists this unclassified non-coding RNA (242 nucleotides) under Hevea brasiliensis (rubber tree). The record is from RNAcentral. Lineage: Eukaryota; Viridiplantae; Streptophyta; Magnoliopsida; Malpighiales; Euphorbiaceae.